RNAcentral lists this ribosomal RNA (1287 nucleotides) under metagenome. Its description in RNAcentral is "bacterial SSU rRNA". It matches the Rfam family "Bacterial small subunit ribosomal RNA", at positions 242 to 1520 of the family's 1533-position model. The record is from RNAcentral.
UAGCUAGUUGGUGAGGUAAAGGCUUACCAAGGCGACGAUCUGUAGCGGGUCUGAGAGGAUGAUCCGCCACACUGGAACUGAGACACGGUCCAGACUCCUACGGGAGGCAGCAGUGGGGAAUUUUGGACAAUGGGGGCAACCCUGAUCCAGCCAUGCCGCGUGAGUGAAGAAGGCCUUCGGGUUGUAAAGCUCUUUCGGCCGGGAAGAAAUCGCAUGGGCCAAUACCCUGUGUGGAUGACGGUACCGGAAUAAGAAGCACCGGCUAACUACGUGCCAGCAGCCGCGGUAAUACGUAGGGUGCGAGCGUUAAUCGGAAUUACUGGGCGUAAAGCGUGCGCAGGCGGUUUUGUAAGACAGGCGUGAAAUCCCCGGGCUUAACCUGGGAACUGCGUUUGUGACUGCAAGGCUAGAGUACGGCAGAGGGGGGUGGAAUUCCACGUGUAGCAGUGAAAUGCGUAGAGAUGUGGAGGAACACCAAUGGCGAAGGCAGCCCCCUGGGUCGAUACUGACGCUCAUGCACGAAAGCGUGGGUAGCAAACAGGAUUAGAUACCCUGGUAGUCCACGCCCUAAACUAUGUCAACUAGGUGUUGGGUGGGUAAAACCAUUUAGUACCGUAGCUAACGCGUGAAGUUGACCGCCUGGGGAGUACGGCCGCAAGGUUAAAACUCAAAGGAAUUGACGGGGACCCGCACAAGCGGUGGAUGAUGUGGAUUAAUUCGAUGCAACGCGAAAAACCUUACCUACCCUUGACAUGCCAGGAACUUGCCAGAGAUGGCUUGGUGCCCGAAAGGGAGCCUGGACACAGGUGCUGCAUGGCUGUCGUCAGCUCGUGUCGUGAGAUGUUGGGUUAAGUCUCGCAACGAGCGCAACCCUUGUCGUUAAUUGCCAUCAUUUAGUUGGGCACUUUAACGAGACUGCCGGUGACAAACCGGAGGAAGGUGGGGAUGACGUCAAGUCCUCAUGGCCCUUAUGGGUAGGGCUUCACACGUCAUACAAUGGUCGGUGCAAAGGGUUGCCAAGCCGCGAGGCGGAGCCAAUCCCAGAAAGCCGAUCGUAGUCCGGAUUGCAGGCUGCAACUCGCCUGCACGAAGUCGGAAUCGCUAGUAAUCGUGGAUCAGCAUGUCACGGUGAAUACGUUCCCGGGUCUUGUACACACCGCCCGUCACACCAUGGGAGCGGGUUCCGCCAGAAGUAGGUAGCCUAACCGCAAGGGGGGCGCUUACCACGGCGGGGUUCGUGACUGGGGUGAAGUCGUAACAAGGUAGCCGUAGGGGAACCUGCGGCUG